This 82-nucleotide transfer RNA is filed under the name Oreochromis niloticus (Nile tilapia). RNAcentral describes it as "tRNA-Ser (TGA) (tRNA-Ser-TGA-6-1)". It matches the Rfam family "tRNA". From Rfam's summary of the family: Transfer RNA (tRNA) molecules are approximately 80 nucleotides in length. Their secondary structure includes four short double-helical elements and three loops (D, anti-codon, and T loops). The record is from Rfam by way of RNAcentral. Lineage: Eukaryota; Metazoa; Chordata; Actinopteri; Cichliformes; Cichlidae. RNAcentral also lists the same sequence under 4 other names.
GCUGUGAUGGCCGAGUGGUUAAGGCGUUGGACUUGAAAUCCAAUAGGGUCUCCCUGCGCAGGUUCAAACCCUGCUCACAGCG